UACGGAGGGUGCAAGCGUUAUCCGGAUUCACUGGGUUUAAAGGGUGCGUAGGCGUAUUAGAAAGUCCGUUGUGAAAUCUCUGAGCUUAACUCGGAAAUUGCGGUGGAUACUAUUAGUCUUGAAUACUGUGGAGGUUAGCGGAAUAUGUCAUGUAGCGGUGAAAUGCAUAGAUAUGACAUAGAACACCAAUUGCGAAGGCAGCUGGCUACACAGAUAUUGACGCUGAGGCACGAAAGCGUGGGGAUCAAACAGG
RNAcentral lists this ribosomal RNA (253 nucleotides) under uncultured bacterium. Its description in RNAcentral is "partial 16S ribosomal RNA". It matches the Rfam family "Bacterial small subunit ribosomal RNA", at positions 524 to 776 of the family's 1533-position model. The record is from RNAcentral.